RNAcentral lists this long non-coding RNA (2283 nucleotides) under Vulpes vulpes (red fox). RNAcentral describes it as "lncRNA (ENSVVUG00000029105.1)". Lineage: Eukaryota; Metazoa; Chordata; Mammalia; Carnivora; Canidae. The record is from RNAcentral.
GGUUGAAUCCCACCCCACCAUUGAGCCCUGACCCUGGCACUUCAUCUUCUUGGGCAAGAAUGUCACAGUCGAACACGGAGUUCAAUGGGGGCUCAGAAGAAAGUCUCUCUCACCCCGACCUGCCUCACCACUGCUCUUCGGCCACAGCAACCAGCCCCUGAAGGCUGACUGAAGGAGAAAAGGAUGUCAUGUGCAGAACUCCCGUCACUGAGAUGUCUAAUCCAUGUCUGCAACAGACGGGGGCUCCAGAAAGAUCUAUGUGCCUGUGUGUCUACCCUCAGACUAAGUUUCUCGCAGCCCCGUACUCUUUCACCCUUCAGAAUGGAGCUUUAGUGGUAGAACACGUCUCCACCAAAGUGGGAGCUUCCUGAGGACGGGGGCGGAAUUUCAGAUUGGAGCUAGGAGGUCAAUGUCGGAGUCUCCUUCAUCACAGGGGGCGAGGCAGGGUCCGGUGCUGAGCCUCCCUCCUCCCUCAGGCGGGUGGAGGCCCCUCCCCCACUAGUAUAGCUCCCUGCCCACAGGGGGCGCUAAGGGCCCAGAGGACUGACCUACAGAUGGGUCCUGGUUUCUGGCGCUCUGAGCUGGCAGGUCCUCUGGGGUUGAUGCACCUGAGGAUUGGGGGGGUGGGGUCCCCAGCCUGUGUGGCUCCUGACUUGGCCCUUGCUCUGGCAGUCGAGGCCAGGCCUGCCGGCGCCAGAAGCUGUGGCCAACAGUGUGGGAGAAGCUCUGAGUCAGGGAUCGUGCCAGGAAGGAACGGUGUGGCCCUAGGUACCGAAGGGCCCUGUCCACGCCCCUCUCUCCCCAUAACCACAGCAGCCAAGCCCCCUGCCUCAUUAGCCUCACUAAAGGCCACUGCCCAGCCUUUGCUUGUUCUGUUCUGUCUGAAGCACCUGCUCUUCCUGUCCUCAAGGACACCUGAGGUCUCACCACUUCUGAAUGCUCUGACCUUCAACAGAGUAGGUAUGGCCAGGUGGAUCAUUUAACUCCUGAGGACCUCCGCAAUAACAUCUGUAAAAUGGGAAUGAUGAGAACACCAUUUAAACUUGGCUGUGAAGUUUAAAUGAGGUAAGUGGCUCAGGGUAGGCCCUUAAACCAACAAUACUAGGGAGGAGACCCUCCCAAUGUCCUGUCUCUGGGUGGUGGGUUUGCCUGAAAGAGCUGUCCUUGGACAUAAGCAGUGCUCAUUCUGGGCCUUACCUGAACAUGUACUCACCUCUGUCUUCCUUCCUUUCUUUGAUCUAACCCCAGGCCAGCCAUGGUGGGUGAUUGGGUGCCACUUCAGAUUGGCCUGGGGGUGUGCCUGGGAGGGGCUGGCUACUUGCCCCACCCCUACCUGUCUGGCACAGCAGGAGCUGAGUGCUGGCUUCCAGCCCCAGAGGGUAUGAGUCAGCCAGAGCCUCCCCAUCCAGGCAAACGCAGCUCAGGGGAUAGGAGCUUGGGUGGAGGGGCCUUCUAGGAACAUUCCUGGAAAAGGACCUGGGAACAGGCGUUGCUGCCCCAAGCCACCUCCUCAGCUUACCAGCCUGUGUCCAGCUCAGCAAAUAACCUUGUCUUUGCUUCCCACAGCUCACCCUCAGGAUUCAGGAGGCAAGGCCCCGCUUGCCUACUCGGGCUAGCCCUAAGCACUUCUUCAGCCACGGCAGGGAGCCAGGCCUGCCACCGUGCUGCCUUACUGCCCUCUUCAGCAAGUCUGGCAAGAUCUCUAGAACCGUGAACGCAGGGGACGCAUGCACACAUGCUCAUAUACAGGUGCCCAUGGCCAUAGAAGCACAACCAGAGCCACCAACGUAGACAUGUCCUGGCAAGCACAUGCACACACACAUGGUGCUCCCUCACACUAUACACACCCACACAGACACUCAUGUAUACUCACAUAUGAACCUGCUGAGUCAUAAUUGUUGUUGUUGGUUGAAUGUGUCCCUCAAAAGAUAUGUUGAAGUCUAACCCCCACUAUCUGGGAACUUGACCUUAGUCCCAAAUAAGGUCUUCAUAGAUAUAAUCAGGUUAAGAUCAGUUAGGGUGGACCCUAAAUCCAAUGACUAGUGUCCUUCUAGAAGGCUGUUUCUUCUCCUUCUAGGGAGAGAAAAAUUUGUAGACACAGACACAGAGACACACAGGGAAGAAAGUCAUGUGGUGAUGGAGGCAGAAAUUGUAGAGAUGCAGCUACAAGCCAAGGAACCCCAAGGAUUGUCUGCCACCACCAGAAGCUAGGAAAGAGGCAUGACGACUCUCCCUCAGAACACCCAGAAUAAACAAACCCCGUCAACUCCUUGAUUUCGGACU